This 496-nucleotide ribosomal RNA is filed under the name uncultured bacterium. RNAcentral describes it as "partial 16S ribosomal RNA". It matches the Rfam family "Bacterial small subunit ribosomal RNA", at positions 28 to 506 of the family's 1533-position model. The record is from RNAcentral.
GAUGAACGCUGGCGGCGUGCCUAAUACAUGCAAGUCGAGCGAACAGAUGAGGAGCUUGCUCCUCUGACGUUAGCGGCGGACGGGUGAGUAACACGUGGAUAACCUACCUAUAAGACUGGGAUAACUUCGGGAAACCGGAGCUAAUACCGGAUAAUAUAUUGAACCGCAUGGUUCAAUAGUGAAAGACGGUUUUGCUGUCACUUAUAGAUGGAUCCGCGCCGCAUUAGCUAGUUGGUAAGGUAACGGCUUACCAAGGCAACGAUGCGUAGCCGACCUGAGAGGGUGAUCGGCCACACUGGAGCUGAGACACGGUCCAGACUCCUACGGGAGGCAGCAGUAGGGAAUCUUCCGCAAUGGGCGAAAGCCUGACGGAGCAACGCAGCGUGAGUGAUGAAGGUCUUCGGAUCGUAAAACGCUGUUAUUAGGGAAGAACAAAUGUGUAAGUAACUAUGCACGUCUUGACGGUACCUAAUCAGAAAGCCACGGCUAACUACGU